Molecule: long non-coding RNA, 891 nt
Filed under: Anas platyrhynchos platyrhynchos (common mallard)
Lineage: Eukaryota; Metazoa; Chordata; Aves; Anseriformes; Anatidae
Description: lncRNA (ENSAPLG00000029212.1)
Source: RNAcentral
GUUGGGGGGCGUUAAUUGGGCGUUGGAGGUCGUUAAUUGGGUGUUGGCCAACGGUUGGCCACUGUUGGUCAUCGUUGGGCCACUACUGGUCAUUUUUGGGCCACUAUUGGCCAUUUUUGGGCCACUAUCGGUCAUUUUUGGGCCACUAUUGGCCAUUUUUGGGCAACUGUUGGCCAUCGGUUGAGCGUUGGUCAUCAUUGGGCUACUGGUGGCCAUCGUUGGGCUACUGGUGGCCAUUGGUUGAGCGUUGACCAUCGUUGGGCUACUAUUGGCCAUUUUUGGGCCACUAUUGGCCAUCAGUUGAGCGUUGGCCAUCAUUGGGCUACUGUUCGUCAUCAUUGGGCCACUGUUGGUCAUCGUUGGGCUACUGUUGGCCAUCAGUUGAGCGUUGACCAUCGUUGGGCCACAAUUGGCCACCGUUGGGCUACUAUUGGUCAUCGUUGGGCCACUAUUGGCCAUCGGUUGGGCGUUGGCCAUCAGUUGGACCUUGUUGGCCAUCGUUGGGCCACUGUUGGUCAUCGUUGGGCUACUAUUGACCAUCGUUGGGCCACUAUUGGCCAUCGCUGGGCCACUGAUAGUCAUCGUUGGGCUACUAUUGGUCAUCGUUGGGCCACUGUUGGCCAUUUUUGGGCCACUGUUGGCCAUCGGUUGAGUGUUGGCCAUCAUUGGGCUACUGUUGGUCAUUGUUGGGCUACUGUUGGCCAUCGGUUGAGCGUUGGCCAUCGUUGGGCUACUAUUGGCCAUUUUUGGGCCACUAUUGGCCAUCGGUUGAGCGUUGGCCACCAAUUGAACCUUGUUGACCACCGUUAGGCUACUGUUGGUCAUCGUUGGGCCACUGUUGGUCAUCGUUGGGCUACUAGUGGCCAUCAGUUGGGUGUCGGCCAUUAAUUG